AUGAGGACGAAGUGACUGACACCACGCUUCCAGGAAAAGCCACUAAGCUUCAGCUGUAGAAAAACCGUACCGCAAACCGACACAGGUAGGCAGGGUGAGAAUCCCAAGGCGCUUGAGAGAACUCGGGUGAAGGAACUAGGCAAAAUGGCACCGUAACUUCGGGAGAAGGUGCGCCUCUUGGUGUGGUCACGUGCGUGACUGAGCAUCGAGGGGUCGCAGUAACCUGGCCGCUGCGACUGUUUAUCAAAAACACAGCACUCUGCAAACACGAAAGUGGACGUAUAGGGUGUGACGCCUGCCCGGUGCUGGAAGGUUAAUUGAUGGGGUCAGCCGCAAGGCGAAGCUCUUGAUCGAAGCCCCAGUAAACGGCGGCCGUAACAAUAACGGUCCUAAGGUAGCGAAAUUCCUUGUCGGGUAAGUUCCGACCUGCACGAAUGGCGUAACGACAGCGGCGCUGUCUCCACCCGAGACUCAGUGAAAUUGAAAUCGCUGUGAAGAUGCAGCGUUCCCGCGGCAAGACGGAAAGACCCCGUGAACCUUUACUAUAGCUUUACACUGAACGUUGAGUUCUUCUGUGUAGGAUAGGUGUGAGGCUAUGAAACCAGGACGCUAGUUCUGGUGGAGCCAUCCUUGAAAUACCACCCUGAAGUGCUUGACGUUCUAACCUAGGUCCGUAAUCCGGAUCGGGGACCGUGUAUGGUGGGUAGUUUGACUGGGGCGGUCUCCUCCCAAAGAGUAACGGAGGAGCACGAAGGUACGCUCAGCGCGGUCGGACAUCGCGCACUGUGUGCAAAGGCAUAAGCGUGCUUGACUGCGAGAUCGACGGAUCAAGCAGGUACGAAAGUAGGUCUUAGUGAUCCGGUGGUUCUGUAUGGAAGGGCCAUCGCUCAACGGAUAAAAGGUACUCCGGGGAUAACAGGCUGAUACCGCCCAAGAGUUCAUAUCGACGGCGGUGUUUGGCACCUCGAUGUCGGCUCAUCACAUCCUGGGGCUGUAGCCGGUCCCAAGGGUAUGGCUGUUCGCCAUUUAAAGUGGUACGCGAGCUGGGUUCAGAACGUCGUGAGACAGUUCGGUCCCUAUCUGUCGUGGGCGUUGGAGAUUUGAGGGGGGCUGCUCCUAGUACGAGAGGACCGGAGUGGACGUUCCGCUGGUGUUCGGGUUGUCAUGCCCAUGGCAUUGCCCGGUAGCUACGAACGGAAGUGAUAACCGCUGAAAGCAUCUAAGCGGGAAGCACGCCCCAAGAUGAGAUCUCCCGAGAGCUUGACUCUCCUAAAGGCACCAUCAAGACUAGGUGGUUGAUAGGCACGGUGUGGAAGUGCAGCAAUGCAUUGAGCUUACGUGUACUAAUGAGCCGUGAGGCUUGAUCAA
RNAcentral lists this ribosomal RNA (1368 nucleotides) under metagenome. RNAcentral describes it as "bacterial LSU rRNA". It matches the Rfam family "Bacterial large subunit ribosomal RNA", at positions 1579 to 2925 of the family's 2925-position model. The record is from RNAcentral.